AGCGAACGCUGGCGGCAGGCCUAACACAUGCAAGUCGAACGAACUCUUCGGAGUUAGUGGCGGACGGGUGAGUAACACGUGGGGACGUGCCUUUAGGUUCGGAAUAACUCAGGGAAACUUGUGCUAAUACCGAAUGUGCCCUUCGGGGGAAAGAUUUAUCGCCUUUAGAGCGGCCCGCGUCUGAUUAGCUAGUUGGUGAGGUAAAGGCCCACCAAGGCGACGAUCAGUAGCUGGUCUGAGAGGAUGAUCAGCCACAUUGGGACUGAGACACGGCCCAAACUCCUACGGGAGGCAGCAGUGGGGAAUCUUGCGCAAUGGGCGAAAGCCUGACGCAGCCAUGCCGCGUGAAUGAUGAAGGUCUUAGGAUUGUAAAAUUCUUUCACCGGGGACGAUAAUGACGGUACCCGGAGAAGAAGCCCCGGCUAACUUCGUG
RNAcentral lists this ribosomal RNA (433 nucleotides) under uncultured bacterium. RNAcentral's name for it is "partial 16S ribosomal RNA". It matches the Rfam family "Bacterial small subunit ribosomal RNA", at positions 29 to 507 of the family's 1533-position model. The record is from RNAcentral.